UCCGGCUUGUCGCCGGCGGUCCCUUUAGAGUGCCCAACUAAAUGAUGGCAACUAGAGGCGAGGGUUGCGCUCGUUGCGGGACUUAACCCAACAUCUCACGACACGAGCUGACGACAGCCACGCAGCACCUUCUCACUCGUUCCCCGAAGGGCACUACCACAUCUCUGCGGUAUUCGAGUGGAUUUAACCCAGGUAAGGUUCUUCGCGUUGCGUCGAAUUGAACCACAUGCUCCACCGCUUGUGCGGGCCCCCGUCAAUUCCUUUGAGUUUUAGCCUUGCGGCCGUACUCCCCAGGCGGAGUGCUUAAUGCGUUAACUGCGGCACUGCAGGGGUCAAUACCCGCAACACCUAGCACUCAUCGUUUACGGCGUGGACUAC
Molecule: unclassified non-coding RNA, 378 nt
Filed under: uncultured delta proteobacterium
Lineage: Bacteria; Deltaproteobacteria
Description: contains 16S-23S intergenic spacer region
Source: RNAcentral